Psammomys obesus (fat sand rat) is the source of this 132-nucleotide small nucleolar RNA. RefSeq annotates it as small nucleolar RNA SNORA17. The transcript has a single exon. NCBI's taxonomy places the organism in Eukaryota, Metazoa, Chordata, Mammalia, Rodentia, Muridae. The record is from RefSeq and is a predicted model, not a curated record.
UCUGCCCCUAGCGGCACUGAAGGUGUGACUGCGGUGUCACAUGUCUAUCAAGAGGCAGCAGAGAGGAGAGAGGCAAUGCCUAUGUUCAGUGUUCUGACCUAUGUACAGCUGAAUGAUUAGUAGCCUAACAUU